RNAcentral lists this ribosomal RNA (254 nucleotides) under uncultured bacterium. RNAcentral describes it as "partial 16S ribosomal RNA". It matches the Rfam family "Bacterial small subunit ribosomal RNA", at positions 524 to 776 of the family's 1533-position model. The record is from RNAcentral.
UACAGAGGUCUCAAGCGUUGUUCGGAUUCAUUGGGCGUAAAGGGUGCGUAGGUGGCGUCGUAAGUCAGGUGUGAAAUCUCGGGGGCUCAACCCCGAAACUGCACUUGAUACUGCGAUGCUCGAGUACUGGAGAGGAGAUUGGAAUUUACGGUGUAGCAGUGAAAUGCGUAGAUAUCGUAAGGAAGACCAGUGGCGAAGGCGAAUCUCUGGACAGUUACUGACACUGAGGCACGAAGGCCAGGGGAGCAAACGGG